Molecule: ribosomal RNA, 243 nt
Filed under: uncultured Glomeraceae
Lineage: Eukaryota; Fungi; Glomeromycota; Glomeromycetes; Glomerales; Glomeraceae
Description: partial 18S ribosomal RNA
Rfam family: Eukaryotic small subunit ribosomal RNA
Source: RNAcentral
UAUUGCUCUUCAACGAGGAAUCCCUAGUAAGCACAAGUCAUCAGCUUGUGCUGAUUACGUCCCUGCCCUCUGUACACACCGCCCGUCGCUACUACCGAUUGAAUGGCUUAGUGAGACCCUCGGAUCGAUGCUCAUCGACUGUAAAAGGUCUUUGUUUAUUGAGAAGUUGGUCAAACUUGGUCAUUUAGAGGAAGUAAAAGUCGUAACAAGGUUUCCGUAGGUGAACCUGCGGAAGGAUCAUUA